This 3661-nucleotide long non-coding RNA is filed under the name Sorghum bicolor (sorghum). RNAcentral describes it as "long non-coding RNA (SBIC_LNC012507)". The record is from RNAcentral. Lineage: Eukaryota; Viridiplantae; Streptophyta; Magnoliopsida; Poales; Poaceae.
GUUGCUAUGUUGGUUGUCCCUACCUUUGAGACAUGCUCAAUUUGUUAAAUACUAAUCACACUACUCUAUCUCCACUUGAGUAGAUCUCUAUAAAUGCUGUCAUGCUACCUUUGUCUAUUUACUAGGAAGUGUUGGUUUGGAAGUACUCGACAUACUUCCAUUGGCAUUUAAAUUAAGCAUGGUGCUUAGGUUAAAUAGCCUUUCUUAAUCUGAUUAGACAUGGAGUCUAGUUUGUUUAUUGAACUAAAAACUGCUUGAGUAGAUAUUGGUAUAUUUUAUCGGACUAACCCCUGCAGGAAAACUUUCAAUAUCGAUUUGGGAAGUCCUGAGAUAAACUCACAUAGAGAUGAAGAGAGUGACACAUGAAGUUUAACAAUUUGCACAAGAAGGACAUAACUCAUUCAUCAUACAGAGAUGAUCCAUGGAAGGAGACAAAGUACAUAAACAAGAUACACAACCACUACGAAAUGAAGGCUUCCACAAGGUGAUACUAUACCAUCACUCUUCAAGUAAGGUAACAUCUUAAGAUAUUUGACUAUCACUUUUAUAAGCUUCUCCUUGGUUCUGGCGUUCACAUAAGUAAAGAGAAAAACAUGCAUGAUUUAUAACUCCAAAUUAACCAACCCAACUGAUUCAGCAUGUUUAGUUCUUUAAUCUUUGUUCCUAGUACUACCUCCAUGAUCCCACACUCCUAACCAUAUGAGCUAAAAUAUUGCACAUUUAAUCUUUGGGAAGAUAUAAAGAAAAAGGCAUAUAUAUAGAUAGAUUAUCUUUCCAUUAGGUUGAGUGAUCUGAUCCGGCAAAUGUUUUAAAUGCUACACUCAUGAACUUAUCAUUCAUCAACUUUGUCUUGCUCACUAUGCUUAAGGUUAGAGAAGAACAAAUACACUUUUGGUUCUGUUGGUGUUAUCCACCAACAGGACCCAUGCACUUGAUCUCUGCCUUGUCUCUAUGAACAGGUACACUACGAGCACAAACACACUGAGCAAGAUACUGCCAACACCGCACUUCGAACUACUGGGCAAACGAAGAACAUGGGUGACACCGUAUUAAGAGGUGCAGACGUCAAGGUCCACCCCUGAAUAAAAUGACGCACCUGAAGAAUGAACACGGUGAGAAGUCUUGUUGAGAAGACUUAAAACAUUGAAUCCUCGCCGAAAGGUAAAAUCGGUAGUUAUCCAUAUUUAUCGUUUCUGCAUUCCCUUUUCCCUUUAAUUACUUACUUUCCUUAAAAUAGCUUAUUAGUUAAUCAUGCUAUCUUGAAAAAAAAUAAAAAUGUUAAAAAAUACUAAGCCCCAUGUGAGUAUGCUCGUGGCAUGAAACCCAUAAGUACAUUAACUGUGGUGGCGUAAAAAUAAAAUAAAUAUAUUUCUGUUCUAUAGAAAUGAAAAUAUAAAAAUAAAAUUAUGAUCCUACCAAAGAGAGUAAUAUUUAUUAGAGGAAGCUCAACAUGAUAAAGGCAAAGAGAUUUUUAUGCUAACACUUAACUAGUUCCACAAAGCUUUGUUGUCUAUUUGAGCUCCACAGAAUUCAAAGAUCAAAGAAGACUAGCAGACAGAGGACAUUCUAAUCGCUGUCAGGGUGCUGCCGACAUUCAAAUACACCUCCGCCACCUGCUAGCUACAUCAAAAGAUAUUACGUCAAAAUCCAGCUUGGGGGAGAGCACCCCCAUUUAUCCAGCUAAGUGUUUCUACUCGCGUUUAUACUUUACUCAAAUAAUAAAAAGAUGCAUAAUCAUAUAAACUCAAAUAAAGAUUUUAUGCUUAUAUAUAUAUAUCAAUGCUUAGUUUGCUAAAUAAAUACAUAAAUAAAGUUUGCUAUGAACCCUCAUGAUCAACUCUCACAUGGAAAUAAUGAAUAGUUGCUCUGCCAUGACUAGUUCUUAAAAUUAAAAUCUCUCUCAAGUUUAGGCAUAAUUGUUAUAAUUUAAACCUGCUCUAAACCUAAACUUGUGGGAAGAGUACUUGAUCUAAAGUCUAAGUCGUUAACGGAUAUGAUAUGGGAUGGUUGAGCUGCUGUUUAUCUGUUCCUAGAGAUGCUAGAAUUCUGGAGAAUUUUAUCUUUGAAAAUCUUUAAAAUGUUGCAUGAUGAGUUCCUGUAUGAUGAGAGUUUAAAAUCCUACCACAGCCAUAUAUACAUGCUUAUUAGACUAUGAACCAUACAUUUACUUUUUACUGCUUAUGAGCAUUGAGUGUGGUCAAGCUGUGUAUACCCUUAGGAGCUUGUCAUGCGGUUUAAAUCAAGAUUCACUUGCACGUUCACUCAUAGGAGCUUGUAGACCCUUAGACCCUUAGGAGCUUGUAAUGCUGCUUCUACUCCGGAAGUAUGCAUCCACAUACAUCCACUCAUUUCCAUCUCCAGAUUCACCCAAAAUUAUUCUACUCCUAUCCGGGAGAGAAUAGCCAAAAACAUUAUCCCAUUCCUGUUUUUCCCUGUGAAAUAAAUGCUCAAGCUAUUUUGGUUACUACCACUUGCUACAUUAUUCUAGGAGGGUGAAUGCUCUAAAAAAAGAAAAAAAAAGAAAAAAAAAUAUACGAGGAAAUAAAAAGGGGCAAGUGCCCGGAACCUCGAAGAAAAAGAAAAAGUGAGACGAGAGGUAAAAAUGGACAAGUGUUCGACAGUAGAAUUAGCGUUACAAGAUAACCACCUGAGAGAAAAGAAAAAGAAAAAAAUAGAGCAUCUCAUUCCUCUCAAAAACCUUCAAAGUGCAAGAAAGGUAUGUAUCCCCUCAAAAGAGCAAAAGUAGAAUUAGACUUUCACCAUUAUUUUAACCAUUAUCACCAUCAUCACCAUACACCAUUCAUCCGCCACACAUGCACAUCUUGGUUUGACUUAUUGACUUGUUUCUCUGGAUCCAUGGUUUGACUAUGCAAUAAAUGUCUUGUAAGUAUGUAUUAGCUGUCUCCCACCUAUGAGCUCCAGAUAUCAAAACCUUAUUAGAGUAGGGUGAGAGAGAAGGCAAUAUCACUAUGCCUCAUACCACAAAUACUACAUACUUUGAGAGAAGGCGUAUAUUAUCACUGCCUUGGUAAGGAUCCAGAAAUACCACAAAAGAGAGACUAGAGAGAGUCAUACAAGGAAUCUCUAAGUUUUAUUUGAAAAUCUGCAAAAACUCCAGAGCUAUAGUUGAUCAAAGAACAAGAGACAUGGUGCUUGACUUGACCGUUCUAUCUUUUAACUGCUCAAGACACAAGUGACGGUUGCAAGCCCCAUGGUGAAAGGUAAUAUGAGUAAGUUUAAAUCUUAACAGUUUACCCUAACCUAGAGAUGAGAUCUUGUUUGAACGCAUGAGUACCUUUAAGGCAUAAAACCACUGCAGAAACUCUUGAGUCCAUCCUUGCUCAGGGACGAGCAAGAGGUAAGCUUGGGGGAGUUGUUGACGGUCCUUAAGUACCAAAAAUAAUCAUCAAAUAAAUAAAUAAAAGGAUCCAAAUGCAACCAACACCUAGACUUAGGGUUUUAUCUGACAGAAUUCCACGAGUUUUGGUGUUUGGCUAUUUUUGCAGGGGGUUAUCAGGAAAUACGGAAGAAAGGCCCACAUGUCGGGAUUACAUAGAGAUACCAACGUACCGCACAAUUUUCUAUCAUCUAGAAGACUCUAGAAGCCACGGGAACGAACGGAGGCCGAACGGGGCCAGAGGAGAGGCCGGCCUGUCGGUUC